RNAcentral lists this transfer RNA (77 nucleotides) under Clostridiales bacterium. RNAcentral describes it as "tRNA-Pro". It matches the Rfam family "tRNA". From Rfam's summary of the family: Transfer RNA (tRNA) molecules are approximately 80 nucleotides in length. Their secondary structure includes four short double-helical elements and three loops (D, anti-codon, and T loops). RNAcentral also lists the same sequence under 2 other names. Lineage: Bacteria; Bacillati; Bacillota; Clostridia; Eubacteriales. The record is from RNAcentral.
CUGGGUGUGGCGCAGCUUGGUAGCGCGCUUGAAUGGGGUUCAAGAGGUCGGGAGUUCAAAUCUCUUCACCCAGACCA